ACGCUGGCGGCAGGCUUAACACAUGCAAGUCGAACGCCCCCCUCGGGGGGAGUGGCAGACGGGUGAGUAACGCGUGGGAACGUGCCCUUCAGUUCGGAAUAACCCAGGGAAACUUGGGCUAAUACCGGAUACGUGCGAGAGCAGAAAGAUUUAUCGCUGAAGGAUCGGCCCGCGUCUGAUUAGCUAGUUGGUAGGGUAAUGGCCUACCAAGGCGACGAUCAGUAGCUGGUCUGAGAGGAUGAUCAGCCACAUUGGGACUGAGACACGGCCCAAACUCCUACGGGAGGCAGCAGUGGGGAAUAUUGGACAAUGGGCGCAAGCCUGAUCCAGCCAUGCCGCGUGAGUGAUGACGGCCUUAGGGUUGUAAAGCUCUUUCGGCGGGGACGAUAAUGACGGUACCCGCAGAAGAAGCCCCGGCUAACUUCGUGCCAGCAGCCGCGGUAAUACGAAGGGGGCUAGCGUUGUUCGGAAUCACUGGGCGUAAAGGGCGCGUAGGCGGCUUUGUAAGUCGGGGGUGAAAGCCUGUGGCUCAACCACAGAAUUGCCUUCGAUACUGCAGGGCUUGAGACCGGAAGAGGUUAGUGGAACUGCGAGUGUAGAGGUGAAAUUCGUAGAUAUUCGCAAGAACACCAGUGGCGAAGGCGGCUGACUGGUCCGGUUCUGACGCUGAGGCGCGAAAGCGUGGGGAGCAAACAGGAUUAGAUACCCUGGUAGUCCACGCCGUAAACGAUGAAUGCCAGCCGUUGGGCAGCUUGCUGCUCAGUGGCGCAGCUAACGCUUAAGCAUCCGC
RNAcentral lists this ribosomal RNA (790 nucleotides) under Microvirga sp. RNAcentral's name for it is "bacterial SSU rRNA". It matches the Rfam family "Bacterial small subunit ribosomal RNA", at positions 33 to 872 of the family's 1533-position model. The record is from RNAcentral. Lineage: Bacteria; Pseudomonadati; Pseudomonadota; Alphaproteobacteria; Hyphomicrobiales; Methylobacteriaceae.